This 353-nucleotide long non-coding RNA is filed under the name Chinchilla lanigera (long-tailed chinchilla). RNAcentral's name for it is "lncRNA (ENSCLAG00000027465.1)". Lineage: Eukaryota; Metazoa; Chordata; Mammalia; Rodentia; Chinchillidae. The record is from RNAcentral.
GCUGGACCAGGGCACAGCCCAGCUCAUCCUCAGGGUGUCUGAGGUGCGGAGGGGCCGCCGGGUCCUGAGACUGUGGAGCCAGGCCCAGCACUCAGUGGCCGGCUGGGCCUCACUGCUCCGCCUUCUGUGUCUCAGGGGCAUGCUGAAGUGGAAAGAGGUCCUCCAAGAAGAACGCAUCCCCAUCACAUGACCACUAGUGGGCAUGUGGGUUAUUUCCAGCUUGGGAUUAAUGUGAAUAGAGCAGCUGCAAAUAUCCCAAGAGAGGCCUUUUGGAUUGAGGAUUUCCAUUUCUCUUUGGUAGGUACCUAGGCAUGGAAUUACCAGGUGAUGGGGUAAUUGUUAUGUUUACUUUU